UUUAAGUCUUUUGCAUGUUUUAGGAAGCAACCUAUCCUUAAUGCAAAACCAUUCAUUUGAUCAAUUGAUCAAGAUGAAUUAGGUUUGAAUCAAGGAAGAUUAAGUCUCCCUAAUCAAUGCUAACUUAUCAACCCUUAACUCAUUGAUCAAAAAAGAAAGAAAAAAAAGAAGGAGAUGAAUAGUGGAUAAUGAAAAUAAAAAGAAUAAAG
RNAcentral lists this long non-coding RNA (209 nucleotides) under Lathyrus oleraceus (garden pea). Its description in RNAcentral is "Pisum sativum (pea) long non-coding RNA (PSAT_LNC024521)". Lineage: Eukaryota; Viridiplantae; Streptophyta; Magnoliopsida; Fabales; Fabaceae. The record is from RNAcentral.